CUAGCGACAGGCCUAACACAUGCAAGUCGAGGGGCAGCACAAGGAGCAAUCUGAGGUGGCGACCGGCGGCACGGGUGAGUAACACGUAUGCAACCUGCCUGUAAGCGGGGAAUAACCCGUUGAAAGACGGACUAAUACCGCAUAAUACUAAAUUACUGCAUGGUAAUUUAUUUAAACAUUUAUGGCUUACAGAUGGGCAUGCGCAUGAUUAGCUAGUUGGAGAGGUAACGACUCCCCAAGGCAACGAUCAUUAGGGGUUCUGAGAGGAAGGUCCCCCACACUGGUACUGAGACACGGACCAGACUCCUACGGGAGGCAGCAGUGAGGAAUAUUGGUCAAUGGACGAGAGUCUGAACCAGCCAAGUCGCGUGCAGGAAGAAUGUCCCUAUGGAUUGUAAACUGCUUUUGCAGGGGAAUAAAGUGCAUCACGUGUGAUGUUUUGUAUGUACUCUGCGAAUAAGGAUCGGCUAACUCCGUGCCAGCAGCCGC
RNAcentral lists this ribosomal RNA (489 nucleotides) under uncultured bacterium. RNAcentral describes it as "bacterial SSU rRNA". It matches the Rfam family "Bacterial small subunit ribosomal RNA", at positions 36 to 518 of the family's 1533-position model. The record is from RNAcentral.